GCUCACAAACGUCUCAGGCAGCGUUUACACUGUACCGUUUUCGUAGCGUUCUCGUAUUGUUCUUAAUCCUCAAGGGGACGCAAGACAAUAGUCUAGUUCUCUCGAACAAUACGAGAACGCUACGAAAACGGUACAGUGUAAACGCUGCCUCAGCGUUUGAAAAGC
RNAcentral lists this microRNA precursor (165 nucleotides) under Paramuricea clavata. The record is from RNAcentral. Lineage: Eukaryota; Metazoa; Cnidaria; Anthozoa; Malacalcyonacea; Plexauridae.